AACGCACAUUGCGCCCUCUGGCAUUCCGGAGGGCACACCUGUUCGAGCGCCGUCAAAACACUGAGGCUUUGCCUAGCGAUGGUGGACAUCUCUUCGGAGAAGCCGCCCAAACUUAGACGGCGCCGCACCGCGGCCGACGAUGCUCAAACGCGUAUGUCCAAGCGGAAGUGGCAGCCUGUUUUCCGAACAGUUUGGCCUCGAAUCAGGUGGGGAUACCCGCUGAACUUAA
Molecule: unclassified non-coding RNA, 229 nt
Filed under: uncultured Ascomycota
Lineage: Eukaryota; Fungi; Ascomycota
Description: sequence contains 5.8S rRNA gene, ITS2, 28S rRNA gene
Source: RNAcentral